Molecule: long non-coding RNA, 4342 nt
Filed under: Gossypium barbadense (sea-island cotton)
Lineage: Eukaryota; Viridiplantae; Streptophyta; Magnoliopsida; Malvales; Malvaceae
Description: long non-coding RNA (GBAR_LNC009827)
Source: RNAcentral
UUAAAUUGAUUUUAGAAAACCAGCUUUGAAUUAGUUGAUAAAUUUGGGUUUGUGAUGACAUUGAAAUUGAAUGUGCUUUUAUUUUUAUUGUUUAGAUGGAUAGAUUCAUACCAAACCGUUCAGCAAUGGACUUUGAUUAUGCGCAUUACAUGCUGACCGAUGGAAGGAAGAUUAAAGAGAACCAAACAGUAUGCUCACCUGCCAGGGAGGCCUACAGGAAGCAGCUGGCUGAGACCUUGAACAUGAACCGCACCCGAAUCUUGGCUUUCAAGAACAAGCCACCGGCACCCGUUGAACUCUUCCCUUCCGAGCACUCAACUGCUUCCGCACAUCCGACCAAAUCCGCAAAGCCUAGGAGACACAUUCCGCAGGUAAAUAGAGCUUGUUAUGCAUAAUUUGAUUAGUUCAGAAAAUUUUGGUUCAACAGACUGAUCAUAAUUAUUAUUUUGAUUCUUCAGAGCUCUGAGAGAACAUUGGAUGCUCCUGAUCUCGUUGACGAUUUUUACCUGAAUUUAUUGGAUUGGGGCAGCAGCAAUGUACUAGCAAUAGCACUCGGAAACACUGUGUAUCUGUGGGAUGCUUCAGAUAGUUCUACUUCAGAACUUGUCACGGUUGAUGACGAAAAUGGACCCGUAACAAGUGUGGGUUGGGCUCCCGAUGGUCGGCAUAUAGCCAUCGGCUUGAACAAUUCCGAAGUACAACUAUGGGAUUCAGCUUCCAACCGACAGGUUCGAUGUUAUAGACUUAUUUGCAGCUAUUCAUUUUUCAACGUUUAGCCUGACACUAACCUUCCCCGUGGUUGCUGCAGCUACGUACUCUAAGAGGAUGUCACAGGUCAAGAGUGGGUUCAAUGGCAUGGAACAAUCACAUUCUCACAACUGGAGGAAUGGAUGGUCAGAUUGUUAACAACGAUGUGAGAAUUAGGUCCCAUGUUGUUGAAACCUAUAGAGGGCAUCAGCAAGAGGUUUGUGGGCUGAAAUGGUCGGCUUCCGGGCAACAACUAGCCAGUGGAGGCAAUGAUAAUGUUGUUCACAUAUGGGAUAGGUCCAUGGCAUCUUCAAAUUCACCAACUCAAUGGCUACACAGGUUGGAGGAGCAUACCUCAGCUGUCAAAGCCCUUGCCUGGUGCCCUUUCCAGAGCAAUCUGCUGGCCACAGGAGGAGGUGGCGGAGAUCGAACCAUCAAGUUUUGGAACACACACACUGGUGCAUGCUUGAAUUCAGUUGACACCGGCUCUCAGGUUUGCUCAUUGCUGUGGAGCAAGAAUGAGAGGGAGCUAUUGAGUUCUCAUGGAUUUACUCAGAACCAAUUAACUCUUUGGAAAUAUCCAUCGAUGGUGAAGAUGGCAGAGCUAACCGGCCACACGUCUAGAGCACUUUACAUGGCUCAAAGCCCUGAUGGGUGCACCGUGGCGUCAGCUGCAGGGGAUGAGACACUAAGGUUCUGGAAUGUUUUUGGGGUUCCAGAAGUGGCUAAAACUGCUCCCAAAGUGAACCGUGAGCCAUUCUCUCAAUUGAACCGUAUCCGGUGAUAACAUGGUGGUGGCCUGGUGGGUUCUUUGUUUUGUGUGCAGAGUUAUCUUUGUUUUGUGUGCAGAGUUAGGGAUUGUGGGAUAAAAUUGUUCAUUCCCAUGUUUAUAUGUACAUUAUAUUUUCAACUUCUUAGUGAAAUUGUUUCCUACUCUUGAAUUUAUUCUGCUAACAAAAUGAAUUGGUUUAAUACCAAGAAAAUAUUACAAGUUGAGAUUAAAUAUGUUAAAAAUAACAUCCUUACCAAUUUAGUUACUAAAUCUUAUUUCAAAAAUAACAUUUUCAGCAGCCUUCAAUAAUCUCAAUAGGAAAGCGAUUGACAUUUGCCGGAUGAACAUAUUAUACGCAUAAAUUUCACACCAUUCGAUGGCCCGUACCGCAAAUUUUGUGGCUAUCUCUGUGUAGUCCCACGAAAGCAUGUUACCGUAAAUUUCUACAUGGUUUUGAAUGGUUGGAAUAGAUGAUGUAUCAUGGACGAAUUCUUGGACCGCCAUUUAGACAACUUAUUUUUGAAGAUCACAAUCUCCAACAAACCGUUUACCUUUGAAUUAUCUAACAUUAUUUCUUCUUCAUAAAUGUUGUCUAGGAUUUUUUCAUUUGCAGGUUUCAAGAUACCUCGUACGUUGGCGUGUAGAUUCAAUCCCAUUGAUGGCUCUAACUCUAGCAUCUUUUUAAUGGAAAUAUUUGGCCCAGGCGGAGUUUGUAAUUAUAUAGUAACAUAGACAUAUUGAAUGUAAGGAGUUGAUGGGCAUAUUUUCAAAAGUUAUGCCCUCAAUCUGCAUGAAAGAUGGUGCUUGAUAUAUAGGAAUUUCGGAGCUUUGUCCACUUUAACACCAACUUCGACUAUGGCUUCAAAUCCUUCCAUUUCUUUGAAGUCAUCACCAAAAUGUUGGGGGUUCGAAAAAGUGAGAUUCAACUUAAUUUAACAUUAUUUUUCGAAAGUGUUAUUGGGUCAAAAAGUAUUUUUAAGCAAAAACUAAAAAAAUUUAUUUUUGUUUUUGGUUAAAAAAGUGUCUUUGCGAAACUUCUUUUUGCCCCAAAAGCAUUUCUAAAAAGUUCAAAAGUAUUUUGUUUAGCAAUAUUAUUAUUUUAAAAGUAUUUUCUGUCCUAAAAAUGAUUCUUAGAAGUAAUGCUAAACUGACUAUUUUUAUUAGACCAUUGAAUAUAUCCCACCAGAGAUCGAAGGCUUAUCCCAAUUUCAAUUACAAUAUUACAUCAUUCUAACCUUUGAAUGUCUACUACCAUGGGUGUAGUAGGCUAUAAGAUUGGUUCAGUUCAAUUAAAUGCAUCAUCUCCUACAUCUUAGUCAUCACCAACUCUUGAAUAGAAAAAUAUUAAAAUUUGGGAAUCUCCAAUUGAUAUUAUAAAUUUGGAAGCCUUAUUGUAAGCAGACAAUCGUAAAUUUCGUAUCCAUAGUCAACAUCUUCAACCUCCGCACAAUAUAUAAGAAAUUGUUAAUUUUAGUGUCCAAAUACCAUGACCUUGAUAACAUCAUAAUUUAAUGUGAUUUCAACAAACUGAACACCUCCUCUCGUAAAUCUCUAUCACUUAUAUUUUAGACUAGUUAUCUUAUUUGUAUUUCUAAUAAUGAUUUUCCUAUGAAUUCUCAUUUUUAGCUUUGGCACCCAAAGAUGUCCAGGUUAGUCUAUCAAGUCAAAUUCAUAUUUAGUCUAUCAAGUCAAAUUCAUAUCACAAGUACAAAAUUUUUAUAAGAUUUUUUGAAAAAAAAACAAUAUCGACAUUAAUUGGUAUCGAAACUAACAUAGUAUCAACUCAUUAUAUUCUAAGGAUGUCGAGGGUCUAAAUUCCAGGGAAAAAACAUAAUAUUUUAAAAAAUAACAAAAUAUAAAAAAAACUAUAUUUGAGAAAAAAACUACCUGUUUAAAAGAAAAAAAAUAGCCGUUGCCCCUCUCCAAAAUAAACCCUAAAUAUUUCUUGAAAUAGCCGUUGCGCCUUCCAUAAGAAAACCUAGAUUAGAAAAGUACUCGAAAUACAAAGACCUCUGCUUAUUUUCGGCGUUCACUAUAUAAACUCCAUCGAUUUCUCCAUUAAUCUUUAAUUAAUUCUCGCCCCAACGUCUCCAUCUCCUCUCGCAUCGCAUCGCAUUGCAUCUCUCUAAUCUUUUUUUUCUCUGUCUAUAACAUUUUCCAUUUGAUUUUGUUUUUGUUUUUGUUUAUUGUUAUUUCUUUUAAAUUUUGAGAUUGAAUUUUGCAGGUUCUGGGUUAUUAUUAUAUAUAUAUUGGAUUUUGCUUAACUAUUUUGCAGGAUCUUAAAUAGUUUUAUUGCUUUCUGUUUCUUUCUCUUUUAUUUUAUAUAUAUAUAUAUUUGGAUACUCUAAUAUUAUGGAUGCAGGAUCUUUGAAAUCUUUUUCAAACUUGAAGGGUCAAUCUAGAUGCCCACUUCAGGAACAGCUUCUCUCCAGAAAGAAUUCUAAAGAAAAUGUAAAUAUUUCUACUUAUUUUAUUAAAUUUUAAUGAUUGCAAAUCUGGAGUUUCUUUGUUUUUGAUUCAUCACAAAAGAACAGCUUUGAAUUAAUUGAUAAAUUAGAGUUUGUAAUGACAUUGAAAUUGAAUGUGCUUUUACUGUUAUUGUUUAGAUGGAUAGAUUCAUACCAAACCGUUCAGCAAUGGACUUUGAUUAUGCACAUUACAUGCUGACCGAUGGAAGGAAGAUAAAAGAGAACCAAACAGUCUGUUCACCUGCCAGGGAGGCCUACAGGAAGCAGCUGGCUGAGACUUUGAACAUGAACCGUACCCGAAUCUUGGCUUUCAAGAACAAGCCACCGGCACCUGUCGAACUCUUCCCUUCCGAGC